Molecule: ribosomal RNA, 899 nt
Filed under: Marinobacter sp.
Lineage: Bacteria; Pseudomonadati; Pseudomonadota; Gammaproteobacteria; Pseudomonadales; Marinobacteraceae
Description: bacterial SSU rRNA
Rfam family: Bacterial small subunit ribosomal RNA
Source: RNAcentral
ACAUGCAAGUCGAGCGGUAACAGGGGGAGCUUGCUCCCCGCUGACGAGCGGCGGACGGGUGAGUAAUGCAUAGGAAACUGCCCAGUAGUGGGGGAUAGCCCGGGGAAACCCGGAUUAAUACCGCAUACGCCCUUUGGGGGAAAGCAGGGGAUCUUCGGACCUUGCGCUAUUGGAUGUGCCUAUGUCGGAUUAGCUAGUUGGUGGGGUAAGAGCCUACCAAGGCGACGAUCCGUAGCUGGUCUGAGAGGAUGAUCAGCCACAUCGGGACUGAGACACGGCCCGAACUCCUACGGGAGGCAGCAGUGGGGAAUAUUGGACAAUGGGGGCAACCCUGAUCCAGCCAUGCCGCGUGUGUGAAGAAGGCUUUCGGGUUGUAAAGCACUUUCAGUGAGGAGGAAAACCUUACGACUAAUACUCGUGAGGCUUGACGUUACUCACAGAAGAAGCACCGGCUAACUCCGUGCCAGCAGCCGCGGUAAUACGGAGGGUGCAAGCGUUAAUCGGAAUUACUGGGCGUAAAGCGCGCGUAGGUGGUUUGAUAAGCGAGAUGUGAAAGCCCCGGGCUCAACCUGGGAACGGCAUUUCGAACUGUCAGGCUAGAGUAUGGUAGAGGAGUGUGGAAUUUCCUGUGUAGCGGUGAAAUGCGUAGAUAUAGGAAGGAACACCAGUGGCGAAGGCGGCACUCUGGACCAAUACUGACACUGAGGUGCGAAAGCGUGGGGGAGCAAACAGGAUUAGAUACCCUGGUAGUCCACGCUGUAAACGAUGUCAACUAGCCGUUGGGACUCUUGAAGUCUUAGUGGCGCAGCUAACGCACUAAGUUGACCGCCUGGGGAGUACGGCCGCAAAGGUUAAAACUCAAAUGAAUUGACGGGGGCCCGCACAAGCGGUGGAGCAUG